AACGCACCUUGCACCCUUUGGUAUUCCGAAGGGUACGCCCGUUUGAGUGUCAUUGUAAUCUCACUACGAUCGACUUUUUGUCUUUUGUAUGUGGACUUGGAUGUUGCCGUGAAUAAACAAACGGCUCGUCUGAAAUGCCUGAGUGUACCCCGCUUUGCGGCGUAUUCGGUGUGAUAAAUCUUCACCGGAGUUGAUCCCUUUAUGGGGUCGCGUCUGUAAUGGUGUGGCUCUAUGCUUCGAACCGUCUCCUAUCGAGACAAAUCUCUGACAAUUUGACCUCAAAUCGGGUGGGACUACCCGCUGAACUUAA
This 310-nucleotide unclassified non-coding RNA is filed under the name uncultured fungus. RNAcentral describes it as "partial contains 5.8S ribosomal RNA, internal transcribed spacer 2, and large subunit ribosomal RNA". The record is from RNAcentral. Lineage: Eukaryota; Fungi.